Molecule: long non-coding RNA, 256 nt
Filed under: Anas platyrhynchos (mallard)
Lineage: Eukaryota; Metazoa; Chordata; Aves; Anseriformes; Anatidae
Description: lncRNA (ENSAPLG00020006446.1)
Source: RNAcentral
AUCCUGUCUUUCGGUUAAAAAAAAAAAAAGCUGUAACUGUUGAAACAGCAUGCACCUAAUAAGCUACUUCUAAAUCUGUCUCCAUCAUUUCAGACUCUGGACUAGCAGAACAGAGCUUGCAGAAUCCUUCUCAAGCCUCUGCGGCAGAGAUGGAGAAAAUAAGCUUAGUCAUAUUCUCCAAAACAAACAGUUUGGCUGAAAAGUUUCCAAGGUAUGUUGAAAGAGAAGAGCUAUGAAAAGGUAUCAAAUAUCAGAG